CGAUUGGAUUGCACGUCUAAGCAGUAAGGCUGAGUAUUAGGCAAAUCCGGUACUCGUUAAGGCUGAGCUGUGAUGGGGAGAAGACAUUGUGUCUUCGAGUCGUUGAUUUCACACUGCCGAGAAAAGCCUCUAGAUAGAAAAUAGGUGCCCGUACCGCAAACCGACACAGGUAGUCAAGAUGAGAAUUCUAAGGUGAGCGAGCGAACUCUCGUUAAGGAACUCGGCAAAAUGACCCCGUAACUUCGGGAGAAGGGGUGCUCUUUAGGGUUAACGCCCAGAAGAGCCGCAGUGAAUAGGCCCAAGCGACUGUUUAUCAAAAACACAGGUCUCUGCUAAACCGUAAGGUGAUGUAUAGG
Molecule: ribosomal RNA, 356 nt
Filed under: Escherichia coli
Lineage: Bacteria; Pseudomonadati; Pseudomonadota; Gammaproteobacteria; Enterobacterales; Enterobacteriaceae
Description: partial 23S ribosomal RNA
Rfam family: Bacterial large subunit ribosomal RNA
Source: RNAcentral